Molecule: ribosomal RNA, 404 nt
Filed under: uncultured Candidatus Saccharibacteria bacterium
Lineage: Bacteria; Candidatus Saccharimonadota
Also listed under: 1 other name
Description: bacterial SSU rRNA
Rfam family: Bacterial small subunit ribosomal RNA
Source: RNAcentral
UGAGGAAUCUUCCACAAUGGGCGAAAGCCUGAUGGAGCAACGCCGCGUGCAGGAUGAAGGCCUUCGGGUCGUAAACUGCUUUUAUAAGUGAAGAAUAUGACGGUAACUUAUGAAUAAGCACCGGCUAACUACGUGCCAGCAGCCGCGGUCAUACGUAGGGUGCAAGCAUUAUCCGGAGUGACUGGGCGUAAAGAGUUGCGUAGGUGGACAAGUAAGCGAAUAGUGAAAUCCGACGGCUCAACCGUACGGACUAUUACUCGAACUGCUUGUCUCGAGAAUGGUAGAGGUAACUGGAAUUUCUAGUGUAGGAGUGAAAUCCGUAGAUAUUAGAAGGAACACCAAUGGCGUAGGCAGGUUACUGGACCAUUUCUGACACUGAGGCACGAAAGCGUGGGGAGCGAACC